Molecule: ribosomal RNA, 451 nt
Filed under: uncultured bacterium
Lineage: Bacteria
Description: bacterial SSU rRNA
Rfam family: Bacterial small subunit ribosomal RNA
Source: RNAcentral
GUGGGGAAUCUUGCGCAAUGGGCGAAAGCCUGACGCAGCAACGCCGUGUGAGGGAUGAAGGCCUUCGGGUUGUAAACCUCUGUUGAAGGGAAAGAAACUUUUUAGAGCUAAUAUCUCUAGAAAUUGACGGUACCCUUAGAGGAAGCACCGGCUAACCACGUGCCAGCAGCCGCGGUAAUACGUGGGGUGCAAGCGUUGUUCGGAAUUACUGGGCGUAAAGCGCGUGUAGGUGGCUAUGCAAGUCGGAUGUGAAAGCCCUUGGCUUAACCAAGGAAGUGCGUCCGAAACUACUUAGCUUGAGUGCGGGAGAGGAGGGUGGAAUUCCCAGUGUAGAGGUGAAAUUCGUAGAUAUUGGGAGGAACACCGGAGACGAAAGUGACUCUCUAGACCGCAACUGACACUAAGACGCGAAAGCGUGGGUAGCAAACAGGAUUAGAAACCCCUGUAGUCC